AGCUUUGCUCAGUGGCAGUAUCAUAGCCAAUGGGGUUUGCUCGAGGCACGAUUAUUGCUAAUUGAUUUUCAGACUUGUUAAUUCUUAAGGUGAAAGGCAUAAAAAUUUUUUACUAAAAUUUUGUAAAUAGUGUCAGAUG
Non-coding RNA from Mustela putorius furo (domestic ferret), 139 nucleotides. The record is from Rfam. Lineage: Eukaryota; Metazoa; Chordata; Mammalia; Carnivora; Mustelidae.